GAUGAACGCUGGCGGCGUGCCUAAUACAUGCCAGUCGAGCGAACAGACGAGGAGCUUGCUCCUCUGACGUUAGCGGCGGACGGGUGAGUAACACGUGGAUAACCUACCUAUAAGACUGGGAUAACUUCGUGAAACCGGAGCUAAUACCGGAUAAUAUAUUGAACCGCAUGGUUCAAUAGUGAAAGACGGUUUUGCUGUCACUUAUAGAUGGAUCCGCGCCGCAUUAGCUAGUUGGUAAGGUAACGGCUUACCAAGGCGACGAUGCGUAGCCGACCUGAGAGGGUGAUCGGCCACACUAGAACUGAGACACGGUCCAGACUCCUACGGGAGGCAGCAGUAGGGAAUCUUCCGCAAUGGGCGAAAGCCUGACGGAGCAACGCCGCGUGAGUGAUGAAGGUCUUCGGAUCGUAAAACUCUGUUAUUAGGGAAGAACAAAUGUGUAAGUAACUAUGCACGUCUUGACGGUACCUAAUCAGAAAGCCACGGCUAACUACGUG
This 497-nucleotide ribosomal RNA is filed under the name uncultured bacterium. Its description in RNAcentral is "partial 16S ribosomal RNA". It matches the Rfam family "Bacterial small subunit ribosomal RNA", at positions 28 to 507 of the family's 1533-position model. The record is from RNAcentral.